GUGAGUCAUCGAAUCUUUGAACGCACCUUGCGCUCCUUGGUAUUCCGAGGAGCAUGCCUGUUUGAGUGUCAUUAAUAUUAUAUAUCAAAACCCCUUGAGUGGGUGUUUUGGAUGUGGGGGUUGCUGGCCUCUUUUAAAGGAGGUCAGCUCUCCUGAAAUGCAUUAGCAGAACAACCUGUUUCGUUCAUUGGUGUGAUAACUAUCUACGCUAUAGAACCGUGAAGGCAGUUCAGCUCUCUAACCGUCCUUUGGGACAAUUUAUUCAUCUAUAUGUGACCUCAAAUCAGGUAGGACUACCCGCUGAACUUAAGCAUAUCAAUAAGCGGAGG
This 329-nucleotide ribosomal RNA is filed under the name uncultured Cortinarius. RNAcentral describes it as "eukaryotic LSU rRNA". The stretch from base 1 to 71 matches the Rfam family "5.8S ribosomal RNA", at positions 84 to 154 of the family's 154-position model. Lineage: Eukaryota; Fungi; Basidiomycota; Agaricomycetes; Agaricales; Cortinariaceae. The record is from RNAcentral.